Molecule: ribosomal RNA, 253 nt
Filed under: uncultured bacterium
Lineage: Bacteria
Description: partial 16S ribosomal RNA
Rfam family: Bacterial small subunit ribosomal RNA
Source: RNAcentral
UACAGAGGUCUCAAGCGUUGUUCGGAUUUAUUGGGCGUAAAGGGCGCGUAGGUGGCGCCGUAAGUCGGGUGUGAAAUUUCGGAGCUUAACUCCGAAACUGCAUUCGAUACUGCGGUGCUUGAGGACUGGAGAGGAGACUGGAAUUCAUGGUGUAGCAGUGAAAUGCGUAGAGAUCAUGAGGAAGACCAGUGGCGAAGGCGGGUCUCUGGACAGUUCCUGACGCUGAGGCGCGAAGGCCAGGGGAGCAAACGGG